This 252-nucleotide ribosomal RNA is filed under the name uncultured bacterium. Its description in RNAcentral is "partial 16S ribosomal RNA". It matches the Rfam family "Bacterial small subunit ribosomal RNA", at positions 524 to 775 of the family's 1533-position model. The record is from RNAcentral.
UACAGAGGGUGCAAGCGUUAAUCGGAAUUACUGGGCGUAAAGCGUGCGUAGACGGUUAUGUAAGUCGGGUGUGAAAGCCCCGGGCUCAACCUGGGAAUUGCAUUCGAGACUGGAUAGCUAGGGUACGGAAGAGGGAAGCGGAAUUUCAGGUGUAGCGGUGAAAUGCGUAGAUAUCUGCAGGAACACCCGUGGCGAAAGCGGCGCGCUGGACCACAACUGACGCUGAGGAACGAAAGCUAGGGGAGCAAACAG